AAAUUGAAGAGUUUGAUCAUGGCUCAGAUUGAACGCUGGCGGCAGGCCUAACACAUGCAAGUCGAACGGUAACAGGAAGCAGCUUGCUGCUUUGCUGACGAGUGGCGGACGGGUGAGUAAUGUCUGGGAAACUGCCUGAUGGAGGGGGAUAACUACUGGAAACGGUGGCUAAUACCGCAUAACGUCGCAAGACCAAAGAGGGGGACCUUCGGGCCUCUUGCCAUCAGAUGUGCCCAGAUGGGAUUAGCUUGUUGGUGAGGUAACGGCUCACCAAGGCGACGAUCCCUAGCUGGUCUGAGAGGAUGACCAGCCACACUGGAACUGAGACACGGUCCAGACUCCUACGGGAGGCAGCAGUGGGGAAUAUUGCACAAUGGGCGCAAGCCUGAUGCAGCCAUGCCGCGUGUAUGAAGAAGGCCUUCGGGUUGUAAAGUACUUUCAGCGGGGAGGAAGGUGUUGCGGUUAAUAACCGCAGCAAUUGACGUUACCCGCAGAAGAAGCACCGGCUAACUCCGUGCCAGCAGCCGC
Molecule: ribosomal RNA, 528 nt
Filed under: Salmonella enterica
Lineage: Bacteria; Pseudomonadati; Pseudomonadota; Gammaproteobacteria; Enterobacterales; Enterobacteriaceae
Also listed under: 1 other name
Description: bacterial SSU rRNA
Rfam family: Bacterial small subunit ribosomal RNA
Source: RNAcentral